UGCAAGUCGAACGAGUUCUCGUUGAUGAUCGGUGCUUGCACCGAGAUUCAACAUGGAACGAGUGGCGGACGGGUGAGUAACACGUGGGUAACCUGCCCUUAAGUGGGGGAUAACAUUUGGAAACAGAUGCUAAUACCGCAUAGAUCCAAGAACCGCAUGGUUCUUGGCUGAAAGAUGGCGUAAGCUAUCGCUUUUGGAUGGACCCGCGGCGUAUUAGCUAGUUGGUGAGGUAAUGGCUCACCAAGGCGAUGAUACGUAGCCGAACUGAGAGGUUGAUCGGCCACAUUGGGACUGAGACACGGCCCAAACUCCUACGGGAGGCAGCAGUAGGGAAUCUUCCACAAUGGACGCAAGUCUGAUGGAGCAACGCCGCGUGAGUGAAGAAGGCUUUCGGGUCGUAAAACUCUGUUGUUGGAGAAGAAUGGUCGGCAGAGUAACUGUUGCCGGCGUGACGGUAUCCAACCAGAAAGCCACGGCUAACUACGUGCCAGCAGCCGCGGUAAUACGUAGGUGGCAAGCGUUAUCCGGAUUUAUUGGGCGUAAAGCGAGCGCAGGCGGUUUUUUAAGUCUGAUGUGAAAGCCCUCGGCUUAACCGAGGAAGCGCAUCGGAAACUGGGAAACUUGAGUGCAGAAGAGGACAGUGGAACUCCAUGUGUAGCGGUGAAAUGCGUAGAUAUAUGGAAGAACACCAGUGGCGAAGGCGGCUGUCUGGUCUGUAACUGACGCUGAGGCUCGAAAG
This 739-nucleotide ribosomal RNA is filed under the name Lactobacillus casei group sp. Its description in RNAcentral is "bacterial SSU rRNA". It matches the Rfam family "Bacterial small subunit ribosomal RNA", at positions 56 to 759 of the family's 1533-position model. Lineage: Bacteria; Bacillati; Bacillota; Bacilli; Lactobacillales; Lactobacillaceae. The record is from RNAcentral.